This 321-nucleotide ribosomal RNA is filed under the name uncultured Tomentella. Its description in RNAcentral is "eukaryotic LSU rRNA". Lineage: Eukaryota; Fungi; Basidiomycota; Agaricomycetes; Thelephorales; Thelephoraceae. The record is from RNAcentral.
AACGCACCUUGCGCCCUUUGGCCAUUCCGAAGGGCAUGCCUGUUUGAGUAUCAUGAACACCUCAACUCCUCGUGGCUUGCAUGAUGAGCUUGGACUUUGGAGGUUUGCCGGCCUUGCAGCUGGCUCCUCUCAAAUGAAUUAGCUUCCCAGUGUUUGGUGGGGCAUCACAGGUGUGAUAAUUAUCUGCGCUUGUGGUUCCUGCCGGGAUGACCUUUGGUUAGAACGGGGGUCAGCUGGAGCUCACAGAAUGUGCCCUCUCCAGUGGAGGACAGCACUUUGAAUGUUUGAUCUCAAAUCAGGUAGGACUACCCGCUGAACUUA